RNAcentral lists this ribosomal RNA (575 nucleotides) under Xenopus boumbaensis (Mawa clawed frog). Its description in RNAcentral is "partial 16S ribosomal RNA". It matches the Rfam family "Bacterial large subunit ribosomal RNA", at positions 1816 to 2594 of the family's 2925-position model. Lineage: Eukaryota; Metazoa; Chordata; Amphibia; Anura; Pipidae. The record is from RNAcentral.
CGCCUCUUGCCAACAACCAUGUAUAAGAGGUCCAGCCUGCCCAGUGACUAUAUGUUCAACGGCCGCGGUAUUCUGACCGUGCAAAGGUAGCGUAAUCACUUGUCUUUUAAAUAAAGACUGGUAUGAACGGCACCACGAAGGUUCAACUGUCUCCUGCAUCCAAUCCAUUAAACUGACCUCCCCGUGCAGAGGCGGGGAUGUAACCAUAAGACGAGAAGACCCUAUGGAGCUUUAAACUAAAGGCAACUGCCAAACUAUUUUACCCAUAAGGAAAAACUACUAAACAAGCAGAAAUUGACCUAAAGUUUUCGGUUGGGGCGACCAUGGAGAAUAAAAAAUCCUCCUUGAAGAAUAGGGCUUACAACCCUUAACCAAGAACCACCAUUCUAAGUAACAAAAUUUAUGACUGCAAUUGAUCCAGUCCUACUGAUCAACGAACCAAGUUACCCUAGGGAUAACAGCGCAAUCCAUUUCAAAAGUUCCUAUCGACAAAUGGGUUUACGACCUCGAUGUUGGAUCAGGGCAUCCCAGUGGUGCAGCCGCUACUAAAGGUUCGUUUGUUCAACGAUUAAAGC